This is a long non-coding RNA of Gorilla gorilla gorilla (western lowland gorilla), 5657 nucleotides long. RefSeq lists it as uncharacterized. NCBI's taxonomy places the organism in Eukaryota, Metazoa, Chordata, Mammalia, Primates, Hominidae. The record is from RefSeq and is a predicted model, not a curated record. The transcript has 3 exons.
UCCAAAGCUUUUCCUUCUGGUUGUCAUGGCAACAGCAGCAAGCGCUCUGGAAGUGGGAAGGAGGACAAGGAGGAGAGAGGAGCAACCAGAAGUAUGGUGGCUGUUAGUCUGCAGAAAAUAAUUCAAGACAGAUAUUUGCAAGCUGCAUGGAGCACACGCCCUGUACAUCCAGAUGUCAAUGUGAUCUUUCACAAGCACACUGAAAAAUUCACACCGUGGAAAAGAACUAAAGUCCCAUCCUAAUUCAUCAGAGCCUUCUGUUUCCUGUAACAAAGAAGAACUCACAAGAUCAGGAUUCCAAGUUGCUGUCUCCUUGAUCUGGAAGCUUGUCCCUCCUUGUAACACCUGGCAGGCAUUGUCUCUUCUGGAAAGACUUUACGCCACUGCCCUCUUUUGCUGCCCUUUGAGUUGGGUUGUCUUUCUCUGCCUUCAUUUGCACACUGUGCUUACCUCUGGCACAGCACUUCUCAGUAUAUUUCCAUUGUAUUCCCCUGUCUAUGUCCCCCCUGAACUGUGAGCUCCUUGAGGGAUGGAAAGAUGUCAAAAGGCUGACAAACUCAGUGUCUCGAACAUAUGAGGUGCUCAACGUUGAAAGAAUGGGCAAAUGAAAAAGAACUGUAACAUUGUAUGACAUUUGAAGAAGACAUUGCUGGCCCGGCGCAGUGGCUCACGCCUGUAAUCCCAGCACUUUGGGAAGCUGAGGCAGGUGGAUCACUUGAGGUCAGGAGUUCGAGACUAGCCUGGCCAACAUAGCAAAAACCCCUGUCUACUAAAAAUACAGAAAAUUAUUGCUUGAACCUGGGAGGCAGAGGUUGCAGUGAGCCAAGGUCACUGCACUCCAGUCUGGGCAACAGAAUGGAAGGAGUAAGAAAGAGGAGGAGGAGGAGGAGGAAGGAGAAGAAGGAGGAGGAAAGGGGAAAGGAGGAGGGAGGGGGGAGGCGGAGGGGGAGAAAGGGGAGGAAGAAAUUGCUUAGUUCCUAAAACACCAUGAUGUUGCCCUCACAAUGACUUUUGUAAAGGCCAAACACAUUGACACCAAUUUCUGUGUUCCAGCAACUGCAACUGAACUCCUCUGUUCUGAUAAAUUAUAUUGCCCCAGCUUCCUCAUUUUAUAUUGCUGACCAUGUAUCUUCUCCUGAAGACCAAAUACGAAGAAAUACACAAGGUGGUAGUAAUAAUUUUUAAUGGAAUUUGAGGAAAGCUAGAAUCUCUUUUAAUAUUGUACUGUUUUUGGCUGGAUUCGGUGGCUCAAGCCUGUAAUCCCAGCACUUUGGGAGGCCGAGGUGGGUGGAUCACAAGGUCAGAGUUCAAGACCAGUGUGGCCAAGAUGGUGAAACCCCAUCUCUACUAAAAGUACAAAAAUUACAGCACGCCUGUAAUCCCAGCUACUUGGGAGGCUGAGGCAGGAGAAUCACUUGAACCUGGGGGGCAGAGGUUGCAGUGAGCCAAGAUUGUGCCACUGCACUCCAGCCUGGGUGACAGAGCGAGACUCCAUCUUGAAAAAAAAUUUAAAAAAAUUUAAAAUAUAUAUAUAUAUAGUACUGUUUUUAUUGCUAAUUUGACCUUUAAAUAACACUUUAAAAUUGCAAUGUUUCCAGAUUUGAGGUCUCUGGGCAUCUAGCAGUUACUAGCAGUCUCCAAAUUGGUACAUCUAUAUGUCUAUCUAUAGAUCCUGGCACAGAUACUGCCUGCUUUAUACAAAGUACUGUGCCAGGAGUUCCUACUGUCACAGGCUUUGCUCUUUAAUGGGGAAAUGUCACAAAUGCUACACUAGAAUUCUCAGCAGCUCUGACCUACUUGACUGCCUCCUCCUCUUGUCUCCUAUGCCUUCUAAGAUGUUGGUCUCUGCCAGUUCUCCUGGCUGUUCUCUGGACACCUCUUUUUACUUUCCUUUUCUGGCUCCUCUUUGAUCAAUUCAUUUAUGUUAGUGCUCUGUAGGGUCUGUGCUGGUGUCUCUUAUCUUCUCACUUUCCAGCUGUACUUGGUGGGUGUGUGCCCUUUAUGUCCAUAGCCUUGGCACCUAUUUAUUCCCAGCUCAAUCACUAGUCUCCAGCUCUCUCAUUAACUCUAGGCAGAGAUUUCCAACUGCCAGUGGGGCUUGUCCACUUGAAUGUCGUGCAGGCAUCUUAAACACAGCAUGUCAUUAUCCUGUCUUUAUCUUUCCUCCUGUUCUUCUAUUCCCUACUGUGGUUAAUGGCACCUUUGUUUCCUCAGCUGCAUGGACUAGUGACUUCUAAAUCAUUCUUUUAUUUAUUUAUUUAUAUUUAUUUAUUUGAGACAGGGUCUCACUCUGCCACCCAGGCUAGAGUGCAGUGGCUUGGUCAUUGUGCACCACAGCAUCAAUGUCCUGGGCUCAGGUAAUCCUCCCACCUCAGCCUCCUGUGUAGCUGGGACUCCAGGCACGUGCCACUAAGCCUGGCUACUUUUUUGCUUUUUUUUUUUUUUUUUUUUGUAGAAAUGAGGUUUAAGCCAUGUUUCCCAGGUUGGUCUUGAACUCCUGGGCUCAAAGGACCCACCCACCACAGCCUCCCAAAGUGUUAGGAUUAUAGGCGUGAGCCACCACACCCAGCUCCAAGUCAUUCUUAAUGCCUUCUUUCCCUACAUAAUCUUCCUUCCAAACAAUAACCAAGCUUUGUUGAUUUAAUCUCUCAGUUCUUUCUUGAACCCAUUCUGUUCCCUCUUUUUCAGUCAUCAAGAUGUUAUCACUUCUCACCUAGAUUAGUGAAAUAGCGUUCCUGUUGAUUUCUUGGCCUCCAGUCCUUCCCCACUACUACUCUUCCUUCAGACUGCUUCCAGAACGUCUUUCUAAAGCCCAAACUUGAUCUUCUCAAUCAUUUACUUAAAAUUCUUCAACAAAUCCUUCUGUCUACACAGUUCAAAGCCCAUAGCAAGAUCUAUGAAGCUCUGUGUGACUUACCUUUUAGCCCACUUAUGUUUUCAGCCUCCUCUGCUGACACUCUCCCCACAUACCCAAAGAUCCCCACAUACCAAACCACUCAGCAUUUCCUCACACACCAUUCUGGCUCCUCUUUCAGGGGCUUUCCAGCUACUUUGGAAAUCCAGCCUAGGAAACUCCUGUUAUUGUCAAGAUCCACUCAAAUAUAACUUCUUUUGUGAAGACUUCACCUCCAACCACUCAGGGCAUAUUUCUAUUAUAGCACCUCUCAUGUUAGAUAAUAAUUUUUUUUUUCUUUUAGAGACCAGGUCUUGCUCUGUCAGGCUAGAAUGCAGUGGCACAAUCAUAGCGUACCGUGACUUCCAACUCCUGUCCUCAAAUAAUCCUCCCUCCUUGACCUCCCAAAGUGCUGGAAUUACAUGUGGAAGGCACUGUGCUCAGGCUAUAAUUAUGUUUUUUAUGGCUCCUCCCCUCCUAGACUGAGCUACAGAAACCAUGUCUCACUCUAUUUUGUAUCCUGGCCCUUGACACAAUAUUUAGCACAUAUCAAGCCUUGCAUCAGUGUUCAAGGAGUAACCAAAUAAUUGAAUGAAUAAAUAACCGACUGUGAUACAAGUUAGAAUAAGAGCAGUAGGCAAGGUGCAAAUAAACUGCUGCUGUAGGGCGUUCAGAGGACUGGGUCACAUUUCUUUGAGCAACCAAAAAAGACUUUGUAUAAUUGAUUGCCAUCUCUCCACUUAGCCCUAUAUAUUUGUUUAUGACUUAACACAAAGUCGGUUCAUUCCAUCCCAGAUAUAGCCCACUUCUUCUCCAGCCUCCACCCAAAUACUGAAACUAGUUUUCUCUUUUCUGUCUCCUGUGUAAUAGCAGAUCUUUAGUUCAUUUUAGCUUUGCAUAUAAUUUUUAUAAUCAUUUACCUAUUUAUAAAGGGAGGUCCCUUCUUUAUUCUAAAAAGGAUUUAAGUGCCUGCCUCAUAAACUGAUUGUGUGUUUUUAUUAUAGCUUCUUGUAUAGAAGAUACCUAAAAAGUGUUUGCUGAAUUAAGAAAUAAAGGAUUGCUCAGGCACCACUGGCACUUUAAGUUGUUCAGCAAGUACUCGUGCCUCUUAAGAACUGGCCAAGGGCCGGGCGUGGUGGUUCAUGCCUGUAAUCCCAGCAUUUUGGGACGCCGAGGCGGGCAGAUCACGAAGUCAGGAGUUCAAGACCAGCGUGGCCAACAUGGUGAAACCCCAUCUCUACUAAAAAUACAAAAACUUAGCCAGGCGUGGUGGCCUGCGCCUGUAGUCCCAGCUACUCGGGAGGCUGAGGCACAAGAAUUGCUUGAACCCACGAGGAGGAGCUUGCAGUAAGCCGAGAUCGCGCCAUUGCACUCCAGCCUGGGCAACAGGGCAAGACUCUGUCCUGAAAGAAAAAAAAAAAAAAAAAAAAGAACUGGCCGAGGUCUUAGCUGGAGCACUCUCUCUACCCUGCAUGUUUGACUGCAUUUCUGUCCAUUUUCAAUCCGUUUUGGUUAUACGUUUUUUCACACAGGUCUGUUGAACUUAGAACACCGAAGGCCUGUGUAUUUUCAUGGCUCACAGCUCAUGUUGUGUUGACCUGCCCCACUGCGGUUAAUGUUUAGCCCCUAAACCACCAGCUGAAUGUCCUUAAAUCUGAAAGAAUAAUGAACACACGCCAACAGAUAGCUUAGGUUUAUUUGGUGACUUGUGCCACAUACUUUGCGAAUAUCAUCUCAGUCAUCCUUUUAGCAUCUCUCUCAGGCACAUACUCUCCUCUGUGGUGGCUCAUGCCGGUAAUCCCAGCCCUUUGGGAGGCCGAGGCGGGCAGAUCACUUGAGGCAAGGAGUUCAAGACCAGCCUGGCCAACACGGUGAAACCCCAUCUCUACUAAAAAUACAAAAAUUAGCCGGCUAUGGUGGCAUGCGCCUGUAAUCCCAGCUGCUCGAGAGGCUGAGGCAGGAGAAUCAUUUGAACCCAGGAGGCAGAGGUUGCAGUGAGCCUAGACUGCACCAUUGCACUUCAGCCUGGGUGAGACCCCAUCUCAAAUAUAUAAAUAAAUAAAUAAAUAAGGGAAAAGCUAUCACACAGCAGAAUACAGUCCAAGGGUAACUACUGAAGGGCCAGAUCAAGGAGCAAAGUCUAUCAUGUAUCAACCUUUACAGUGUCCCCAAGGGUCAGCUGUGUAUAGGGGCCCACACAGAAUUUGGAAUCCAAAUACAUCUCUGGAUCCCCAGGCCUGUGUUUGACUCGCCAGGUAGUAAUGAGAUGUCUCCAUUUUCUGCAGGCUGAAUGAUUCCCUCAGAGCAGAAGUAUAAGCAUAUUUAUUGUUUUUCCUUCUAUCAUAAACAGUUAUUGGUUGUGGCCCUUUCUCCCUUCCAAAUAGGUGCCCAAAUUUCUGGAAGUGAAAAGGGCCCAACUUUCCCAUAUCAGGGAGUGGGCCCCACUGGGCGUGAGCCAAUCAGUGUCUUCUGUCCUGUGAGCUCCCGAUUUAUGCUGGUCUAUAACCUGAGAUGGCCUUCUCAGGAUGGACCUCCGGGGAUUGCUGGAACUUGGACUCUUGUCAGCCUGGUAAAUGGUAUGUCUUAGAUCUGCUGCAGCCGUCGUGGAAAGCUUGAAGCUGCCAGGAGAGAGGGGUUCCAACAUGUGGUGGCUAAAGAAUGAAUCCAACUCAAAGGAAGCAGAGCCAAGAAAUGGAUCCAUGCUGUUUGAAUCUUAGAUCAAAUUGUGCCUGGAUCUCCAGUGAGACAAUAAAUUCCUGUAUUA